RNAcentral lists this ribosomal RNA (426 nucleotides) under uncultured bacterium. RNAcentral's name for it is "bacterial SSU rRNA". It matches the Rfam family "Bacterial small subunit ribosomal RNA", at positions 354 to 796 of the family's 1533-position model. The record is from RNAcentral.
GUGAGGAAUUUUCCGCAAUGGGCGAAAGCCUGACGGAGCAAUGCCGCGUGAAGGAUGAAGGCCUAUGGGUUGUAAACUUCUUUUCUCAGAAAAGAAUUAUGACGGUAUCUGAGGAAUAAGCAUCGGCUAACUCUGUGCCAGCAGCCGCGGUAAGACAGAGGAUGCAAGCGUUAUCCGGAAUGAUUGGGCGUAAAGCGUCUGUAGGUUGUUUAAAAAGUAUUCUGUUAAAGAUUAGGGCUUAACCCUAGAUAGGCAGAAUAAACUUUUAAGCUAGAGUGUGGUAGAGGCAGAGGGAAUUCCCGGUGGAGCGGUGAAAUGCGUAGAUAUCGGGAGGAACACCAAAGGCGAAGGCACUCUGCUGGGCCAAUACUAACACUGAGAGACGAAAGCGAGGGGAGCAAAUGGGAUUAGAUACCCCUGUAGUCC